GAUAAGUUUUAUUCUUGCUUUUUCAUUCAGUUGUUUGUUUGUUCUAUAUGUAAGUUUUUGCGUGGUUGUUUAUUUUGGUUCUAGAUGGGCUGAAAAAAGGCGUUAUUAUUCAGGAGCGUGUUUAUGUUGAUUGUGUUGUAUAAUUCUCAUUAGUUAUUAUUGGUUGAUCAAGUAGUCUUGUAUUCAGCGAUACAUUUUAGUUUCGGUUAAAUUUUGUGCCAGCAGCCGCGGUUAUACCUUGGAAGCGUUUGAAUGUAUUUGGCAUUGUGAUAGUUAUAUUAAUGGAGUUUGUUGGUAAGUUUUUGCGUGGUUGUUGGGUGAAAUUUUUAUUGUUCGUUGUUUGCCUAUUUUUUAUUUGGAGGCUAUGAAAUUCUUUUUAUAAACUAGGAUUAGAUACCCUAUUAUUUUAGAAUGUUAAUUUUGGGUGCCUGAGUAGUAUUAGUUAUGUUCUUGAAACUUAAAGAAUUUGGCGGUAUCUCAUUCCAUCCAGAGGAAUCUGUCCCGUUAUCGAUAGUCCGCGUUGGACCUUACUUAGUUUAAAUUUUGGUUUGUAUACCGCCGUUUAUUGAUUAUCUUUUUAGAGUUUAUUAAUUUUCUGGUUUCUUUAUUAUGGUUUAUUUCAGGUCAAGGUGCAGCUUGUUUCUAAGUGGAAUUGAUGGAUUACAUUAUUAUUUGUUUUUGGAUUGUUGAUUUUAAUAUUGGUAUGAAAUUGGAUUUGGUUGUAAUUUCUUGUAGAUUGUUGUUGUGAUAGUUGGUUCUGAGAUAUGUACACAUCGCCCGUCGCUCUCGUUUAUUAAUGAGAUAAGUCGUAACAAAGUGGUUGUACCGGAAGGUGCGGCUGGAUUGAU
Molecule: non-coding RNA, 848 nt
Filed under: Promirotermes sp. A TB-2017
Lineage: Eukaryota; Metazoa; Arthropoda; Insecta; Blattodea; Termitidae
Source: RNAcentral